This 460-nucleotide ribosomal RNA is filed under the name uncultured bacterium. Its description in RNAcentral is "partial 16S ribosomal RNA". It matches the Rfam family "Bacterial small subunit ribosomal RNA", at positions 338 to 795 of the family's 1533-position model. The record is from RNAcentral.
CCUACGGGUGGCAGCAGUGAGGAAUAUUGGUCAAUGGACGCAAGUCUGAACCAGCCAUGCCGCGUGCAGGAAGACGGCUCUAUGAGUUGUAAACUGCUUUUGUACGAGGGUAAACGCAGAUACGCGUAUCUGUCUGAAAGUAUCGUACGAAUAAGGAUCGGCUAACUCCGUGCCAGCAGCCGCGGUAAUACGGAGGAUUCAAGCGUUAUCCGGAUUUAUUGGGUUUAAAGGGUGCGUAGGCGGUCGUGUAAGUUAGAGGUGAAAGCCCGAGGCUCAACUUCGGAAUUGCCUCGGAUACUGUUCGGCUAGAGAGUAGUUGCGGUAGGCGGAAUGUAUGGUGUAGCGGUGAAAUGCUUAGAGAUCAUACAGAACACCGAUUGCGAAGGCAGCUUACCAAGCUACUUCUGACGUUGAGGCACGAAAGCGUGGGGAGCAAACAGGAUUAGAUACCCUAGUAGUC